AGUGAACGCUGGCGGUAGGCCUAACACAUGCAAGUCGAACGGCAGCACAGUAAGAGCUUGCUCUUACGGGUGGCGAGUGGCGGACGGGUGAGGAAUACAUCGGAAUCUACUUUUUCGUGGGGGAUAACGUAGGGAAACUUACGCUAAUACCGCAUACGACCUACGGGUGAAAGCAGGGGAUCUUCUGACCUUGCGCGAUUGAAUGAGCCGAUGUCGGAUUAGCUAGUUGGCGGGGUAAAGGCCCACCAAGGCGACGAUCCGUAGCUGGUCUGAGAGGAUGAUCAGCCACACUGGAACUGAGACCCGGUCCAGACUCCUACGGGAGGCAGCAGUGGGGAAUAUUGGACAAUGGGCGCAAGCCUGAUCCAGCCAUACCGCGUGGGUGAAGAAGGCCUUCGGGUUGUAAAGCCCUUUUGUUGGGAAAGAAAAGCAGCAGGUUAAUACCCCGCUGUUCUGACGGUACCCAAAGAAUAAGCACCGGCUAACUUCGUG
RNAcentral lists this ribosomal RNA (492 nucleotides) under uncultured bacterium. RNAcentral's name for it is "partial 16S ribosomal RNA". It matches the Rfam family "Bacterial small subunit ribosomal RNA", at positions 29 to 507 of the family's 1533-position model. The record is from RNAcentral.